UGGGGAAUAUUGGACAAUGGGGGGAACCCUGAUCCAGCCAUGCCGCGUGUGUGAAGAAGGCCUUAUGGUUGUAAAGCACUUUAAGCGAGGAGGAGGCUCCUGUAGUUAAUACCUACAGUGAGUGGACGUUACUCGCAGAAUAAGCACCGGCUAACUCUGUGCCAGCAGCCGCGGUAAUACAGAGGGUGCGAGCGUUAAUCGGAUUUACUGGGCGUAAAGCGUGCGUAGGCGGCUUUUUAAGUCGGAUGUGAAAUCCCCGAGCUUAACUUGGGAAUUGCAUUCGAUACUGGGAAGCUAGAGUAUGGGAGAGGAUGGUAGAAUUCCAGGUGUAGCGGUGAAAUGCGUAGAGAUCUGGAGGAAUACCGAUGGCGAAGGCAGCCAUCUGGCCUAAUACUGACGCUGAGGUACGAAAGCAUGGGGAGCAAACAGG
RNAcentral lists this ribosomal RNA (430 nucleotides) under Bacillota bacterium. Its description in RNAcentral is "Firmicutes bacterium partial 16S ribosomal RNA". It matches the Rfam family "Bacterial small subunit ribosomal RNA", at positions 355 to 776 of the family's 1533-position model. The record is from RNAcentral. RNAcentral also lists the same sequence under 1 other name. Lineage: Bacteria; Bacillati; Bacillota.